GGAAGGAUCAUUAUUGAAAUAAACCUGAUGGGUUGUUGCUGGUUCUCUAGGGAGCAUGUGCACACCUUGUCAUCUUUAUAUCUCCACCUGUGCACCUUUUGUAGACCUUUUAGGUCUAUGUUGGCCCCAAUUACCCCAAUGUAUGUUAAUAGAAUGUUGUGACUAUAUAAUAUAUACAACUUUCAGCAACGGAUCUCUUGGCUCUCGCAUCGAUGAAGAACGCAGCGAAAUGCGAUAAGUAAUGUGAAUUGCAGAAUUCAGUGAAUCAUCGAAUCUUUGAACGCACCUUGCGCUCCUUGGUAUUCCGAGGAGCAUGCCUGUUUGAGUGUCAUUAAUAUAUAUAU
Molecule: unclassified non-coding RNA, 344 nt
Filed under: uncultured fungus
Lineage: Eukaryota; Fungi
Description: sequence contains ITS1, 5.8S rRNA gene, ITS2 and 28S rRNA gene
Rfam family: 5.8S ribosomal RNA (bases 178-331)
Source: RNAcentral